AGUCCAUGGUGUGGGCAUCUUUGUAUCAGUAUUUUAAAUUUUUCCCAUGCUUCAUGAAAACUUUCCCCUUCUAACUGCUUGAAGGUGGCAAUCUCUCUUCUCAGUUG
Gossypium raimondii (Peruvian cotton) is the source of this 107-nucleotide small nucleolar RNA. It matches the Rfam family "Plant small nucleolar RNA R71". From Rfam's summary of the family: R71 is a member of the C/D box family of snoRNAs containing the C (UGAUGA) and D (CUGA) box motifs. Multiple nearly identical copies of this snoRNA have been identified in Arabidopsis, and it is thought to function as a 2'-O-ribose methylation guide for 18S ribosomal RNA. Lineage: Eukaryota; Viridiplantae; Streptophyta; Magnoliopsida; Malvales; Malvaceae. The record is from Rfam.